This 321-nucleotide unclassified non-coding RNA is filed under the name Hevea brasiliensis (rubber tree). Lineage: Eukaryota; Viridiplantae; Streptophyta; Magnoliopsida; Malpighiales; Euphorbiaceae. The record is from RNAcentral.
GAAGGCAUGUAUAUGUGGUUUUGGUUCUCAAGCAGUAUUCUAUGAGAACAUUGGUUCAUCGUCUGCUUCAACUACUCAACCUCAAGAUUGUAGUUUUGAUGCUCGGGUGAAGGAAUACGUUCAAGAAAUGAAGCAUGAGAUGAGAGAAGAGAUACGACAUGAAUUAAGUGAAGAAAUGAAACAUGAAAUGCAUCUACAAAUGCAAGAGCAAGUUGAUACACCACCUUAGCUUAGACGUGACCCAUCAUCAGUAUGUCAGAGCUGGGCUGCCUAAACCAUCCUCCAGUAAACUGCCCACUGAUACACCACCUUAGCUUAGAC